RNAcentral lists this ribosomal RNA (460 nucleotides) under uncultured bacterium. RNAcentral describes it as "partial 16S ribosomal RNA". It matches the Rfam family "Bacterial small subunit ribosomal RNA", at positions 338 to 795 of the family's 1533-position model. The record is from RNAcentral.
CCUACGGGUGGCAGCAGUGAGGAAUAUUGGUCAAUGGACGGAAGUCUGAACCAGCCAUGCCGCGUGCAGGAAGACGGCUCUAUGAGUUGUAAACUGCUUUUGUAUAAGGGUAAACCUGAAUACGUGUAUUCAGCUGAAAGUACUGUACGUAUAAGGAUCGGCUAACUCCGUGCCAGCAGCCGCGGUAAUACGGAGGAUCCAAGCGUUAUCCGGAUUUAUUGGGUUUAAAGGGUGCGUAGGCGGAUUGAUAAGUUAGAGGUGAAAUGUUCGGGCUUAACUCGGGAACUGCCUCUAAUACUGUUGGUCUAGAGAGUAGAUGCGGUAGGCGGAAUGUAUGGUGUAGCGGUGAAAUGCUUAGAGAUCAUACAGAACACCGAUUGCGAAGGCAGCUUACCAAUCUAUAUCUGACGUUGAGGCACGAAAGCGUGGGGAGCAAACAGGAUUAGAUACCCUUGUAGUC